AGAGAGCGAGUGAGUAAACGAGGACGUACGUACUGAAGCUGAGGGAUAAAAGCAGCGAGAAAAAAGAGAUGGCGUCACAGGAAAUCAGAAAAGUCUCUGAAGCAUAUCCAAUGAAAGGUGGAGAUGGCCCCGAUAGCUAUGCCAAGAACUCUACUUAUCAGAGAGAAGCUAUGGAGUCUGUCAAAGAACUUGUAACCAAAGGAAUUGCAGAAAAGCUUGACAUAGACCUUUUGUUACCUUCCAACUCCUUUCACAUUGCGGAUCUUGGUUGCUCUGUUGGUCCUAAUACAUUUUCUUCAGUUGAAAACAUACUUGAAGCUGUGGAGCUCAAGUUUCAAGGCCAAGGACUCAUGAAUCC
Molecule: long non-coding RNA, 358 nt
Organism: Rosa chinensis
Lineage: Eukaryota; Viridiplantae; Streptophyta; Magnoliopsida; Rosales; Rosaceae
Exons: 3
Source: RefSeq, a predicted model, not a curated record